CGUGGGUAACCUGCCCAAGAGACUGGGAUAACACUGGAAACAGAUGCUAAUACCGGAUAACAACACUAGACGCAUGUCUAGAGUUUAAAAGAUGGUUCUGCUAUCACUCUUGGAUGGACCUGCGGUGCAUUAGCUAGUUGGUAAGGUAACGGCUUACCAAGGCAAUGAUGCAUAGCCGAGUUGAGAGACUGAUCGGCCACAUUGGGACUGAGACACGGCCCAAACUCCUACGGAAGGCAGCAG
RNAcentral lists this ribosomal RNA (243 nucleotides) under uncultured bacterium. RNAcentral's name for it is "partial 16S ribosomal RNA". It matches the Rfam family "Bacterial small subunit ribosomal RNA", at positions 116 to 354 of the family's 1533-position model. The record is from RNAcentral.